AUAGUGCCAAGCACUUUGCCAAAAAUCGACCCAAAACAGAAUGGAAUAUUGAAAAAUUGUAAGUCAACUUGGCCCGAAGCACGGACAAGUGUAAUAAAUGCAAAGAAGACACUAUAGCAACAAGACACGAGAAAAAUUUAUAAAAAUCUAUUUUAUAAAAUUUUGCAUACUAUGUUAUAAAGUCAGUGCUGAAAAAAAUAAUAAAUCUAUGAUUUGUCG
Xenia sp. Carnegie-2017 is the source of this 219-nucleotide long non-coding RNA. RefSeq lists it as uncharacterized. The record is from RefSeq and is a predicted model, not a curated record. The transcript is spliced from 2 exons. NCBI's taxonomy places the organism in Eukaryota, Metazoa, Cnidaria, Anthozoa, Malacalcyonacea, Xeniidae.